GAACUGCGAUAAGUAAUGUGAAUUGCAGAAUUCAGUGAGUCAUCGAGUCUUUGAACGCACAUUGCGCCCCCUGGCAUUCCGGGGGGCAUGCCUGUCCGAGCGUCAUUGCUGCCCUUCAAGCCCGGCUUGUGUGUUGGGUCGUCGUCCCCUCCGGGGGACGGGCCCGAAAGGCAGCGGCGGCACCGCGUCCGGUCCUCGAGCGUAUGGGGCUUUGUCACCCGCUCGAUAAGGACCGGCCGGGCGCCAGCCGGCGUCUCCAACCUUUUUUUCUCAGGUUGACCUCGGAUCAGGUAGGGAUACCCGCUGAACUUAAGC
Molecule: unclassified non-coding RNA, 315 nt
Filed under: plant metagenome
Description: partial contains 5.8S ribosomal RNA, internal transcribed spacer 2, and large subunit ribosomal RNA
Rfam family: 5.8S ribosomal RNA (bases 1-105)
Source: RNAcentral